This 864-nucleotide ribosomal RNA is filed under the name Olleya marilimosa. RNAcentral describes it as "bacterial SSU rRNA". It matches the Rfam family "Bacterial small subunit ribosomal RNA", at positions 382 to 1249 of the family's 1533-position model. Lineage: Bacteria; Pseudomonadati; Bacteroidota; Flavobacteriia; Flavobacteriales; Flavobacteriaceae. The record is from RNAcentral.
UCUGAUCAGCCAUGCCGCGUGCAGGAAGACUGCCCUAUGGGUUGUAAACUGCUUUUAUACAGGAAGAAACACUCUCACGUGUGAGAGCUUGACGGUACUGUAAGAAUAAGGAUCGGCUAACUCCGUGCCAGCAGCCGCGGUAAUACGGAGGAUCCAAGCGUUAUCCGGAAUCAUUGGGUUUAAAGGGUCCGUAGGUGGAUGAUUAAGUCAGAGGUGAAAUCCUGCAGCUCAACUGUAGAAUUGCCUUUGAUACUGGUUGUCUUGAGUUAUUAUGAAGUAGUUAGAAUAUGUAGUGUAGCGGUGAAAUGCAUAGAUAUUACAUAGAAUACCAAUUGCGAAGGCAGAUUACUAAUAAUAUACUGACACUGAUGGACGAAAGCGUGGGGAGCGAACAGGAUUAGAUACCCUGGUAGUCCACGCCGUAAACGAUGGUCACUAGCUGUUCGGACUUCGGUUUGAGUGGCUAAGCGAAAGUGAUAAGUGACCCACCUGGGGAGUACGUUCGCAAGAAUGAAACUCAAAGGAAUUGACGGGGGCCCGCACAAGCGGUGGAGCAUGUGGUUUAAUUCGAUGAUACGCGAGGAACCUUACCAGGGCUUAAAUGUAGAUUGACAGGUUUAGAAAUAGACUUUUCUUCGGACAAUUUACAAGGUGCUGCAUGGUUGUCGUCAGCUCGUGCCGUGAGGUGUCAGGUUAAGUCCUAUAACGAGCGCAACCCCUGUUGUUAGUUGCCAGCGAGUCAUGUCGGGAACUCUAACAAGACUGCCAGUGCAAACUGUGAGGAAAGGUGGGGAUGACGUCAAAUCAUCACGGCCCUUACGUCCUGGGCUACACACGUGCUACAAUGGUAGGGACAGAGAGCAG